This 497-nucleotide ribosomal RNA is filed under the name uncultured bacterium. Its description in RNAcentral is "partial 16S ribosomal RNA". It matches the Rfam family "Bacterial small subunit ribosomal RNA", at positions 28 to 507 of the family's 1533-position model. The record is from RNAcentral.
GAUGAACGCUGGCGGCGUGCCUAAUACAUGCAAGUCGAGCGAACGGACGAGAAGCUUGCUUCUCUGAUGUUAGCGGCGGACGGGUGAGUAACACGUGGAUAACCUACCUAUAAGACUGGGAUAACUUCGGGAAACCGGAGCUAAUACCGGAUAAUAUUUUGAACCGCAUGGUUCAAAAGUGAAAGACGGUCUUGCUGUCACUUAUAGAUGGAUCCGCGCUGCAUUAGCUAGUUGGUAAGGUAACGGCUUACCAAGGCAACGAUGCAUAGCCGACCUGAGAGGGUGAUCGGCCACACUGGAACUGAGACCCGCCCCAGCCUCCUACGGGGGGCAGCAGGAGGGAUUCUUCCGCAAGGGGCGAAAGCCUGACGGAGCAACGCCGGGUGAGUGAUGAAGUUCUUCGUAUCGUAAACCUCUUUUAUUAGGGAAGAACAUAUGUGUAAGUAAUUGUGCACAUCUUGACGGUCCCUAAUCAGAAACCCACGGCUAACUACGUC